CAGGACGAACGCUGGCGGCGUGCCUAACACAUGCAAGUCGAACGGACUGAUUCCUUCGGGAAUGAAAGUUAGUGGCGGACGGGUGAGUAACGCGUGAGCAACCUGCCUUUCAGAGGGGAAUAACGUUUGGAAACAGACGCUAAUACCGCAUAACGCAUAGGUGUCGCAUGGCAUUUAUGCCAAAGGAGCAAUCCGCUGAAAGAUGGGCUCGCGACCGAUUAGAUAGUUGGUGGGGUAACGGCCUACCAAGUCGACGAUCGGUAGCCGGACUGAGAGGUUGAACGGCCACAUUGGGACUGAGACACGGCCCAGACUCCUACGGGAGGCAGCAGUGGGGGAUAUUGCACAAUGGGCGAAAGCCUGAUGCCAGCAACGCCGCGUGAGGGAUGACGGUUUUCGGAUUGUAAACCUCUGUCUUUGGUGACGAACAAAUGACGGUAGCCGAGGAGGAAGCCACGGCUAACUACGUGCCAGCAGCGGC
This 481-nucleotide ribosomal RNA is filed under the name uncultured bacterium. RNAcentral's name for it is "bacterial SSU rRNA". It matches the Rfam family "Bacterial small subunit ribosomal RNA", at positions 25 to 518 of the family's 1533-position model. The record is from RNAcentral.